This 272-nucleotide ribosomal RNA is filed under the name uncultured bacterium. RNAcentral describes it as "partial 16S ribosomal RNA". It matches the Rfam family "Bacterial small subunit ribosomal RNA", at positions 85 to 354 of the family's 1533-position model. The record is from RNAcentral.
CCGCCGGCGACCGGCGCACGGGUGAGUAACACGUAUGCAACCUGGCCGUGACAGAUGGAUAGCCGGGAGAAAUCCCGCCUAAUACAACAUAAUGCCGGGAGGGGACAUCCCCUGCCGGCCAAAGGGGCGACCCCGGUCACGGAUGGGCAUGCGGCGCAUUAGGUAGUUGGUGGGGCAACGGCCCACCAAGCCGACGAUGCGUAGGGGUUCUGAGAGGAAGGUCCCCCACAUUGGAACUGAGACACGGUCCAAACUCCUACGGAAGGCAGCAG